GUAAGCGUAACGAAAAUAGGUAGCGACGCCUGUCUGGGCGAUCCACGGGAUACCAUUGCGAAAAAAAUCCGCCGAGAAAAGAAUUUUAAAUGAAGCAUUUGCCACGAAAUACGAGACGUCGAUUCUCCUCGAUAAUACCGGGUCCCGGUUAAACCCGGAGUUAUCGGGAGUACUAUUGACCGGAAUCAAUAUGAAAAGGUACCGUCGCAAUAUUUAUUUUUUAUACGUCGUUCCAGGGUCCGUAGUGCAAGAGCCAGACCGCAAUACGGAGCUUUGAGAAACGUCGUUUACGCCAUUGGGAGAUCAAAUUUACGUAUACGUAUAAGGAAACACGGGAAUGGGAUGAAUCAAGGAUUCCCUGGAAUCAGAAUUGUCGAGUUCAAUGACGCAAUGGGAAAGGCGUAAGGCACGAAGUUAAAAAUAUAUUCUAGAAGGUUGGAUGUAUUCGGAGGCGCUCUAUCCCGGCACCGUUAGGAUCGUCGUAUCUCCCGACCCACGAGAGCAGAUAAAGAUGAAACGAUACUGACGUCACUCUCUCAGCGCAUCUGAGAACCGCGUUUGUGCUCGCACGCGUUGCUUGUUCCUUCUGUAAGCCCACGGCAAACGACGCCAGGAAUUCGCAAUGCCGAGGCGGUCACAGUAUCUUCAUCGACGAUUGGAAAACGUUCGAAUGGACGUUACCGAACGUUAUGAAAUAACGGAUUUCUUAUCCUCAAAAUAGCUACACAACCUGACUCAGAGAGUGCGCGUCAGGAAGAAUUAAUACUACAGAGUUGUUGAUUUCGAGGUACGUUAGACGCCGUGACAAGUGUCUGUCUGGACAAUUGACCGUUCCCGGCACCCCUUCCCAGAGGGACCCGUGUGUACAUUGGAGAGCGACGACUAAGGACGGAAGGGGCGAGGAGGAAAACAAAACGACCACCUUGAGCAGCCGCGCCGGCCGCCGCGUGGCCGUGUUUCCAAAACAUUUCCCACAUCCGACGUCGAUGGACAACGGAAAGGACGAGCUUUUCCGACGGACUGUAUCGGCACUUGGGGGAAUCGGCGGUCUCAAAGGUCACGCGAACUCGGAACGGCGAUGCAGGUCACAGGACUUGCUACCAAAUUUCAAUUACAGUUGCUCACCACUACUGUAGGUAUAACUUUACAUAUCACAGAAUGUAGAGAACCGUUCCAGCAAUAGCUCUACAACGUUACUGGGUUACUGCGGCAUUAACGUAAUAUCCCUCGUUUCUCAAUAGUUUUAACUCAUUUCGUUUUAAAGCUUGUAAAGAAUAAAUGUUUAUAUAUAAUUGGCACAGUGUAUUUUAAAUGUCUUUUUGUUGUUUGCAAAUGGAAUUUAAAUUAUUGGAAACACCUUAGUGCAUGACCCGUACGACAAUUUAAUUAAUGGAAAGAAAUUAGGAAUAAAGUUUCGAGAUUAAAAUAUCGAGUACGAUAUAGAGUGGUGUCUAAGAUUAACAUUGAGCGCGCACAGAGAAAAAAAUGUU
This is a long non-coding RNA of Orussus abietinus, 1490 nucleotides long. RefSeq lists it as uncharacterized. The transcript has 3 exons. Lineage: Eukaryota; Metazoa; Arthropoda; Insecta; Hymenoptera; Orussidae. The record is from RefSeq and is a predicted model, not a curated record.